Molecule: ribosomal RNA, 503 nt
Filed under: uncultured bacterium
Lineage: Bacteria
Description: bacterial SSU rRNA
Rfam family: Bacterial small subunit ribosomal RNA
Source: RNAcentral
UCUGGCUCAGGAUGAACGCUGGCGGCGUGCCUAACACAUGCAAGUCGAACGAAGCACGUUCUGGUUGAGAUUCGUCAAGAACUGGAUUUGACUAGUGCGGACGGGUGAGUAAUGUAUGAGCAACCUGCCUUUCAGAGGGGGACAACAGUUGGAAACGACUGCUAAUACCGCAUAAUGUUUUGAGAGGGCAUCCUUUUGAAACCAAAGGAGCAAUCCGCUGAAGAUGGGCUCAUAUCUGAUUAGUUAGUUGGUGAGGUAACGGCUCACCAAGACUGCGAUCAGUAGCCGGACUGAGAGGUUGAACGGCCACAUUGGGACUGAGAUACGGCCCAGACUCCUACGGGAGGCAGCAGUGGGGAAUAUUGGGCAAUGGGCGAAAGCCUGACCCAAGCAACGCCGCGUGAAGGAAGAAGGUCUUCGGAUUGUAAACUUCUUUUAUGAGGGACGAAGGACGUGACGGUACCUCAUGAAUAAGCCACGGCUAACUACGUGCCAGCAGCAGC